CACUUUUAGUCCUCAAAUUAUAAGUUAUUGUCAUUUCUGAUCCGAACUUUUUUGAAUUAUUAUAAUUAAGUUCCACAAUCUAACUUAGUUGGCUAAAUAUUGAGAAAUUGUUAAUGUAGAAGUAAUGUCGAAAUAUUGUGAUUGAUGAAGCGACAAUAAUUAAUAUAUUAUUUCACUUCUACAUAAAAAACUAUUUUUUAUGAUUUUACAUACAAUCGAACACCCGCUCAGUGUAUUGUCACUUUGUUAUUAUGUGGUUUAAAUAGUUUUUCUUUCCAAUUCUAUUAUUCUCCUUUUAUAUCACUGCAAAAUACUGUCACCAAAUGGGAUAGUAAAAUGAUAGAAUUUAUAAGCUACAGAAUAGUAAAGUAUUUAUUUACCAAACCUUGAAAUAACAACGUUUAGCAUUUUAAUGGCCUACAUUUUUCACAUAGCUCUCUAUGGUUUAUAAACUACAUUAUUUUAGAAAAAUCCUACUUGUAUACCCCAUCCUUAGGGAUGCCAAUGGGUACAGAUAUCCAAAAUUUUAUCCAAGCCCGAACUUGAAUGGAGCGGAUAUAUUCAAUGCUAAACAAAUAUGGAUAUCAAAAAUAAAAACCCGACAGAUAUGAAUUCGGAUAUGGAUUUUACUUGUACCCGACCCGAACCUGACCCGAACCCGAAUUUAUUUUGCAUUAUAUAUAUAUAUAUAUAUAUAUAUAUAUAUAUAUAUAUAUAUAUAUAUAUAUAUAUAUAUAUAUAUAUAUAUAUAUAUAUAUNUUAGAUUUAAUGUAAUAUAUUUUGAAAUAUGGAAAAAAGAAAUAAUUGUUUCGGGUUCGAAUUUUCGGGUUCGGAUUCGGGUUUCGAAUUUUUGGUCCGGUUCGGGUUUGGAUAUGAAUUUUUUAAAUCCAUCGGAUACGGGUUCGGUCUCGAGUUUGGAGUUGGGUUCAAGUUCGGGUUUUUAAAAAUUCGCUCCGAAUCCGACCCGUUGACAUCUCUAACCAUCCGGAGUGUACAAGUUACAGCCCACCCAUCCAAUCACGUAUUGGAUGAGUGGGGUGUAAAAUAUACACCCCAUCCAGAGUGUAUAUGUAGUAUUACUCAUUAUUUUAAUGCUCUACUU
RNAcentral lists this long non-coding RNA (1102 nucleotides) under Ananas comosus (pineapple). RNAcentral describes it as "long non-coding RNA (ACOM_LNC023648)". The record is from RNAcentral. Lineage: Eukaryota; Viridiplantae; Streptophyta; Magnoliopsida; Poales; Bromeliaceae.